Molecule: unclassified non-coding RNA, 190 nt
Filed under: uncultured fungus
Lineage: Eukaryota; Fungi
Description: sequence contains ITS1, 5.8S rRNA gene
Source: RNAcentral
CCACACCGAUCCAAGAUCGACACAAUAUGUGAACUGUCGAACCGUAUCGACUUAGAAGUAGUUCUUUCGGGAGCGAAACUGAGUUGGUAUUUGGUUCACCCUAACCAACCUUUAAACAACAUGAAUUAUCACUGGAACUAAAUGUUUUGUCGAGUUUGUCUUGACUUAACGACUAGAUUAAAAUUAUAAA